GGAUGUAAGGGCGAUCUGGCUGUGACAUCUGUCACCCCAUUGAUCACCAGGGUUGAUUCGGUUCAUCUGGCUGGCUAGGCAGGUGUCCCCUUCCUCCCUUACUGUGGCUCCAUGUUUGUCCCUCCGAAGCUGCUUGCUUGAUCAGAGAGGAUGACCACCUGUGAUAGAAGAAGACUGUUUCCUCAGUCAAGGGUACAGUAGAUGCACUCUCCUGCUACAACUUCCAAACAAGCCUUCAAGGACAGAAGCCAAGUGCUGUGUGAGCUCCUCGCUAUGGUACCACUGGGGUACUUAUAAGU
Molecule: unclassified non-coding RNA, 299 nt
Organism: Fukomys damarensis (Damara mole-rat)
Lineage: Eukaryota; Metazoa; Chordata; Mammalia; Rodentia; Bathyergidae
Gene: 7SK
Rfam family: 7SK RNA
About the family: 7SK was discovered as an abundant small nuclear RNA in the mid-70s but a possible function has only recently been suggested. Two independent studies have found that 7SK RNA binds the CDK9/cyclin T complex (known as elongation factor P-TEFb).
Source: Ensembl